CCCUUAGAUGUUCUGGGCCGCACGCGCGCUACACUGACCAGUGCAACAAGCAUCCGUCCUUGGCCGACAGGCCCGGGCAAUCUUUGAACGCUGGUCGUGAUGGGGAUAGACUUUUGCAAUUUUUGGUCUUCAACGAGGAAUUCCUAGUAAACGCAAGUCAUCAACUUGCAUUGAUUACGUCCCUGCCCUUUGUACACACCGUCCGUCGCACCUACCGAUUGAAUGGUCCGGUGAAGCCUCCGGAUUGGCGCGCACCUCGGUGCCGCCGAGAAGUUGGCUAAACCUUACCAUUUAGAGGAAGGUGAAGUCGUAACA
This 315-nucleotide ribosomal RNA is filed under the name uncultured eukaryote. RNAcentral's name for it is "partial 18S ribosomal RNA". It matches the Rfam family "Eukaryotic small subunit ribosomal RNA", at positions 1470 to 1796 of the family's 1831-position model. The record is from RNAcentral.